CAACAAUGAGCAAAGCCCAUACCGCAUGGUCAGCUAUAAAAGGCCCCAAUAAGACAAUGUAAAACAAUUCAAACGAGAAAACUAACGGCCUUAUUUAUGUAAAAAAAUGAACGAAAUACAAAUAUGUAACACAUAAACAAACGACAACCACUGAAUUACAGGCUCCUGACUUGGGACAGGCACAUACAUAAAUAAUGUGGCGGGGUUAAACAUGUUAGCGG
This 221-nucleotide long non-coding RNA is filed under the name Mytilus galloprovincialis (Mediterranean mussel). Lineage: Eukaryota; Metazoa; Mollusca; Bivalvia; Mytilida; Mytilidae. The record is from RNAcentral.